Molecule: long non-coding RNA, 391 nt
Filed under: Citrus sinensis (sweet orange)
Lineage: Eukaryota; Viridiplantae; Streptophyta; Magnoliopsida; Sapindales; Rutaceae
Description: long non-coding RNA (CSIN_LNC000116)
Source: RNAcentral
CUCUUCCCCCUCACCUUUCUCGAUCCAGUUACAGCAAAUAUGCACUCUCUCUCCCUUUAUAUUCAUCCAACAACAUUCUCUCUCCUUAUUUCUCCCGAUCUACUCUCUCUCACUGUAUUUCAUCUCUGCUAUUGUUUCUAUUCAUCUCAGCCAUUGCCGUUGCUACUCCGUCUCCCCUCCUUCUAGCCACUGCUGCUCCGUCUCUGCCUAGCCACUGCUUCUCCAUCUCCACCUAACCGCUUUUGCUUCGUCUCAACAACCUCGACUGUUGCUGGUCACUCGACUCUGUCUCUUGCUGGUAUUUAUUUUAUUUAAGUAAUUACUUGAGUGAUUUGAUUAAUUGUUUUUAAUAGCAUGUAAUUAUUUGAGUGAUUAUUUGAGUAAAUUAUUU